UACGUAGGGUGCGAGCGUUGUCCGGAAUUAUUGGGCGUAAAGAGCUCGUAGGCGGUCUGUCACGUCGGCUGUGAAAACCCGAGGCUCAACCUCGGGCCUGCAGUCGAUACGGGCAAACUAGAGUGUUGCAGGGGAGACUGGAAUUCCUGGUGUAGCGGUGAAAUGCGCAGAUAUCAGGAGGAACACCGGUGGCGAAGGCGGGUCUCUGGGCAACAACUGACGCUGAGGAGCGAAAGCGUGGGGAGCGAACAGG
RNAcentral lists this ribosomal RNA (253 nucleotides) under uncultured bacterium. Its description in RNAcentral is "partial 16S ribosomal RNA". It matches the Rfam family "Bacterial small subunit ribosomal RNA", at positions 524 to 776 of the family's 1533-position model. The record is from RNAcentral.